CCUACGGGCGGCAGCAGUGGGGAAUAUUGGACAAUGGGGGCAACCCUGAUCCAGCCAUGCCGCGUGUGUGAAGAAGGCCCUCGGGUUGUAAAGCACUUUCAGUGAGGAAGAACGCCUGGUGGUUAAUACCCAUCAGGAAAGACAUCACUCACAGAAGAAGCACCGGCUAACUCCGUGCCAGCAGCCGCGGUAAUACGGAGGGUGCGAGCGCUAAUCGGAAUUACUGGGCGUAAAGCGCGCGUAGGUGGCUUGAUAAGCCGGUUGUGAAAGCCCCGGGCUCAACCUGGGAACGGCAUCCGGAACUGUCAAGCUAGAGUGCAGGAGAGGAAGGUAGAAUUCCCGGUGUAGCGGUGAAAUGCGUAGAGAUCGGGAGGAAUACCAGUGGCGAAGGCGGCCUUCUGGACUGACACUGACACUGAGGUGCGAAAGCGUGGGUAGCAAACAGGAUUAGAUACCCUGGUAGUC
This 465-nucleotide ribosomal RNA is filed under the name Vreelandella stevensii. RNAcentral's name for it is "partial 16S ribosomal RNA". It matches the Rfam family "Bacterial small subunit ribosomal RNA", at positions 338 to 795 of the family's 1533-position model. Lineage: Bacteria; Pseudomonadati; Pseudomonadota; Gammaproteobacteria; Oceanospirillales; Halomonadaceae. The record is from RNAcentral.